This 430-nucleotide ribosomal RNA is filed under the name uncultured Enterobacter sp. RNAcentral's name for it is "bacterial SSU rRNA". It matches the Rfam family "Bacterial small subunit ribosomal RNA", at positions 354 to 776 of the family's 1533-position model. The record is from RNAcentral. Lineage: Bacteria; Pseudomonadati; Pseudomonadota; Gammaproteobacteria; Enterobacterales; Enterobacteriaceae.
GUGGGGAAUAUUGCACAAUGGGCGCAAGCCUGAUGCAGCCAUGCCGCGUGUAUGAAGAAGGCCUUCGGGUUGUAAAGUACUUUCAGCGAGGAGGAAGGCACCGUACCUAAUACGUGCGGUGAUUGACGUUACUCGCAGAAGAAGCACCGGCUAACUCCGUGCCAGCAGCCGCGGUAAUACGGAGGGUGCAAGCGUUAAUCGGAAUUACUGGGCGUAAAGCGCACGCAGGCGGUCUGUCAUGUCGGAUGUGAAAUCCCCGGGCUCAACCUGGGAACUGCAUUCGAAACGGGCAGGCUAGAGUCUUGUAGAGGGGGGUAGAAUUCCAGGUGUAGCGGUGAAAUGCGUAGAGAUCUGGAGGAAUACCGGUGGCGAAGGCGGCCCCCUGGACAAAGACUGACGCUCAGGUGCGAAAGCGUGGGGAGCAAACAGG